UGCUGCUCAAACAUCCAAUGGUCAAAUAAUGUAUUAGAUAAUAAGACACGGUUAUUAGGAAAAAUAAUUAAAAAGAAAUGUACUUUCAUCCAACAAAAGCGAAUAGGUAUUAGAAAAUAAUUAGUUCAUUGCAAAAUGGUAUUUAAACGGCAUACCUUAUCGCUCCUUCUCUUCAAGAUUUUUGAAAAUCUCUUUGUACACGUUUGAUUAUUCUGUUUCUUGUUCCAUUCGAUUUUGUGAUAUGUUUUUGUUCAUUAAUAGUCAUCUUGUUAUUUGUGUUUGAAAAAGAGGUUCAAGUUGAUCAGCAUAUUUUUCCCAAAGACAACAUGCAAGAUCAUUUCCUCUGAAAGUUAUGGCAAGUUAUUUAGGUUCUGAAUAAUAAAAUAUGUACUCACUACAAGAAAAAUGGGCUUUGAUAGCAGUGAAGGAUAACGUUUUUUGCCUUUCUGCUAUGAUUGACAUACCCGUUAGUUUUAGAUAGCGUUUGUAUAUUUAGAACCGCUAUGAUAGAACUGUAUAUUUAAAAACGCUAUGCUAGCGUAUUUUUAAUAGCGCAUUAUUAAAAACGCUAUCUUUAACUUUUUAAAUCUCUAAACCCUAAACAAGUUUUAAACCCUAAACUUUAAACAUAACUUCAAAAUCUAACUAUUUUGAUAUCAAAUCUUAAAUUUAACCUCAAAUAUUAAAUAUAAAUUCAAAAAUUAUUUCUUUUUCAAUAAUUAAUCUUAAAUCCCAAUACCUUAAACCUUUAACCCCAAACCCUAUACUCAAACCUUUAUUCUAAACUCAUAACUUUAAAUCUAAAAUCUAAAUUCAAAAAAAAAAAUCAAACUUAAACUUAAUUCUUCAAAUUAAUUCAAAUUUAUUUUCGAAUUUUAACUUAAAGUCUUAACCUUGAACUCUAAACCUUAUAUACUCAAAUCUUAUAUAUCAUAAUAAACCUCAAACCUUCAAUAUACACAUUUAGUUAUCAAACUAAAUAAUAAAUCACAAAUCUAAUGUUCUCAAAGUUAGACACCAAACUUUGAGCAUACAUUUUUAAAAAUUAAUAUGUUUAAAUUUUAAACCUUUAAACUAAUUUUAUUUACUAUACUCUUGUAUUUUAAACCUUUAAACUAAUUUCAUUUUACAUUUAAAGUAAAUCAUAACUUAUAAAUAAUAUUAAAAUUUCAGUCUAUUAUUUGAAACAUUGAACCAAACUAUAAUUACAUUAAUUAUAUAUAUUUUUUGGUCGAAAUUAUAUAUAAAUAUUUAACUUAAUUAUUAUAUUAAAUGAAAACAGUUUUUAAUGGAUUAAUUUUGGCCUUUGAUUGAUUUCAAUCCAAUGGCCACAAAUAUGUUUGGUUUAUCUUUUUUCUUCUUUCUCAUUGGUCAAUAUCUUAAUUACAAGGAUAGCUAUCUUAACCACUGAAUAUUUUUGAUCCUAUGGCUAGAAAUCACACAUCUCAUAUCUCAAUCUCUUUCUUCUUGUCUCACGUUAUCUCUCUCUCUCUCUCUCUCUCUCUCUCUCUCUCUCUCUCUCUCUCUUUGUUACAGAUCUAAAUAUGAUCUCAUAUCUUUUUUAAUUCUUUGGAUCUCUAUCUUCCUCAAUCACCACCACCACAACCACCCGUUUGUUUUUGCCGUCCCAGCAUCACAACCACCACCACACGACCGUUCGUUCGCCGUCCAAGCAUCACCACCACCACACAACCACGGGAUGGAGGAAGCAAGGCAAGGCAGGUAUGGCGGCUAGAGGAGGAAGAUGACGGCUUCAGAUUCAGGAAGAGGAAGCUGACGGCGAGUUGGUGAGGAGGCGACGAGAUUAGGUCUAGAUGGAUGUGAUGUUUGCCUCCUCUCUGCAACUUGCAUCUCAAAUCCCAGGAUGAAGAAGAAGGAUCAUGGCUGGAAAAACACGAAGACGAAGGUGGUGGUGCGGCCUGUAGAUGAAGAAGACAACGAAGUGGUGGUGUGUUUAGUUAGUAAUUAGGUUAAAGUCUGGUUUAGUUUUUGGUUUAUUUAGUUUGUUGGUUUAUUAUUUAAUUAGAUUUUUUUUUGUAUUUUUGUAAACAAAUUUCAUUAUAGAUAAAUUUAAGUAAUAAAUAAAAUUUGAUUCUAUGAA
Brassica napus (rape) is the source of this 2101-nucleotide long non-coding RNA. RefSeq lists it as uncharacterized. The record is from RefSeq and is a predicted model, not a curated record. The transcript is spliced from 2 exons. NCBI's taxonomy places the organism in Eukaryota, Viridiplantae, Streptophyta, Magnoliopsida, Brassicales, Brassicaceae.